GGGUUGUGAGGUUAAGCGACUAAGCGUACACGGUGGAUGCCCUGGCAGUCAGAGGCGAUGAAGGACGUGCUAAUCUGCGAAAAGCGCCGGCGAGGUGAUAUGAACCUUUGACCCGGCGAUGUCCGAAUGGGGAAACCCAGUGUGUUCCGACACACUAUCGUUAACUGAAUACAUAGGUUAACGAGGCGAACCGGGGGAACUGAAACAUCUAAGUACCCCGAGGAAAAGAAAUCAACCGAGAUUCCCCCAGUAGCGGCGAGCGAACGGGGAGCAGCCCAGAGUCUGAAUCAGCUUGUGUGUUAGUGGAAGCGUCUGGAAAGUCGCACGGUACAGGGUGAAAGUCCCGUACACGAAAGCACACAGGUUGUGAACUCGAAGAGUAGGGCGGGACACGUGGUAUCCUGUCUGAAUAUGGGGGGACCAUCCUCCAAGGCUAAAUACUCCUGACUGACCGAUAGUGAACCAGUACCGUGAGGGAAAGGCGAAAAGAACCCCGGCGAGGGGAGUGAAAAAGAACCUGAAACCGUGUACGUACAAGCAGUGGGAGCCUCUUUUAUGGGGUGACUGCGUACCUUUUGUAUAAUG
This 585-nucleotide ribosomal RNA is filed under the name Enterobacter ludwigii. RNAcentral describes it as "partial 23S ribosomal RNA". It matches the Rfam family "Bacterial large subunit ribosomal RNA", at positions 1 to 617 of the family's 2925-position model. Lineage: Bacteria; Pseudomonadati; Pseudomonadota; Gammaproteobacteria; Enterobacterales; Enterobacteriaceae. The record is from RNAcentral.